GGAGAGGUGGCUGAGUGGUCGAAGGCGCUCGCCUGGAGAGCGAGUAGACGGCCUAAACCCCGUCUCGAGGGUUCAAAUCCCUCCCUCUCCGCCA
RNAcentral lists this transfer RNA (94 nucleotides) under Synergistaceae bacterium. RNAcentral's name for it is "tRNA-Ser". It matches the Rfam family "tRNA". Rfam says of the family: Transfer RNA (tRNA) molecules are approximately 80 nucleotides in length. Their secondary structure includes four short double-helical elements and three loops (D, anti-codon, and T loops). Further hydrogen bonds mediate the characteristic L-shaped molecular structure. tRNAs have two regions of fundamental functional importance: the anti-codon, which is responsible for specific mRNA codon recognition, and the 3' end, to which the tRNAs corresponding amino acid is attached (by aminoacyl-tRNA synthetases). tRNAs cope with the degeneracy of the genetic code in two manners: having more than one tRNA (with a specific anti-codon) for a particular amino acid; and 'wobble' base-pairing, i.e. permitting non-standard base-pairing at the 3rd anti-codon position. The record is from RNAcentral. Lineage: Bacteria; Thermotogati; Synergistota; Synergistia; Synergistales; Synergistaceae.